ACGCGAUCCCCUCAGCUUCUGUCCUUUCUUCAACCCACCGAUUCGUUUUCUACAUUAUGAAUUGUUACCGUCUGAACAUCUACGCGAUCCAAUUACAAUAGAAGCAUAAAUCCCUAUAUAUAUGCAUAAGAGCAAAUCUUCCCCCAAACGGCAGAACAGAGACCCCUCUUUCAAAUGACUGAAGAUUGGUUAUCCCGUAACCAGACGCAGAGGGAGAAAUUCAGUUCCAUAACCUCCAUAUAAAUACCAUCAUACUUGUUCCCUCCCUCCCACUUCUGUUAAAUUGUUAGAAACCUAGACUCAUGGGUAAAGGAAUUAUUUGAUUCAGUGCUUUGUCAGUUCAAAAAUAGAAUCUAGCUAAGGAGCACAUGUCCUAUUUUUGUAGGUGAUAUAUACUCGAAGGCAUGAAACUGGUAUUUAAUAAUACUCCAGGUGAGAUAUAUGCAGUUGUUAUGGAUUGUGGUUUCGAGGAAAACAAUUAUGGAACUCAAUAUGCAGCCGCUAAGUUUCUAAAGCUUGAUCGACAUCUUUUAUCAGUUGUUAAUUAGUACUAGGAUUCUUAUGCAUGUCUACUGUUGUUUAGGAAACUAAAGACAUGAUGGUUCUGUUUGGGACGAAAAAGAAAAGUAGCACCAGGUGUGUUAACCCAAUGCUUAGGUGAUUAACUGCAGAUAAAAAAAAUUAUCCCCUGUUUGAGCAGUAUGGAAGUACACAUGGUUAUUUGGUCAGUGGCCUUCUUGGCAUAUGUAGAUUUUCUGCGUUCUGAAUUUUUAGCCCUUGUGAUUCUUGUAGGUUAUGCUUUAUUUAGGCGUAUAACUUGUACUUCCAUUGCUCUACAUUUUACUUAAAUCACAUAUUUGACACUUUGUACAAUCUGCAGUUAAUUACUAAAUCCCAGAGGAGUUCUACAUUAUUUCAUUAGUCCAUUUAGAGCAUGUCAAUUGGAUGUACAAGUUAUUUAGGGGUAAAAUCAACUUCCCUCUGAAGUCUGCUGCUGGUCAUGCUCUUUUAUAUGGUGGUCUGAUCUGGUCACACUCUUUCGACAGUCGAUGCAUAUUUUCUUUUGGGUAAUUUGCUUCACCUAAGCUUCAGUAGCACUCUGCAUGGCCCUUUGAGUUCAUAUCUUCUAUUGGUGUCUGAAAACUAUCAUUUUUGGUCAGCUGAUAUCACUCUAUUCAUGCUAUCAAUUUUUCUUUCUCACUAUAUGGUAGUCCUUGACCUGUUUGUGUCAUCGGAGAAGGGAAUUUUCCUUUUUUUUCACUUUUAUCUUGUUUCCUUUUAAUAUAUUGGUUUUAGUUGUAUAUUACAGAAGGAUUGGACAUGGAGAUCUAAGAUGGAAGCGGUUGUGUAUAUACUGUACCUUUGUAUAUCUUUCCAAGUUCCAUCUUGCCUUAUCAUACAUUUUAAAAGAACAGUUGUUUUCUGAGUCAUUGGUGUACUUAUGUUGUGUUGUCACCAACCAUGAGUAUAUAACAGUUUGUUGGACAAAAGUAUUCUUGUGGUUUGUGCCAUGGUUGGGCACCAUCUUAAAUAUAAAAUGAUAACAUUGCAAACAUUUUUAUUUUGAAGGGCCAACAAGAAAGGAUUUCUUCCGGCAGCAUAACAAAGAACCCAUUGGGUGGAUGCAACACCCGAAUGCCUUUUUGACUAAAUCAUUUUAAUUAACUAAUUACAGUGGCGGAGCUAGAUGGGGAGGCAAAGGGCAAAUACAUCAAUUCUUGAGCAGUCCAAAAACUAUAAUUUGUUGAAUUAAGCACCCCCAAGAGUUCUUUAUUCACACAUUUUUUCAAGGUUGGGGGUUUAAUGGCAGAAGAUCAAGCACUCCGUCCUCUGCCAGGUCGCCGCCGCUGCUCGGGACGUAGACGCGCACAUGGGUCCGUCAGUCGUUGGCAAACGAGGUCGAGUCCGUGCGGAGCACUGGUCUCCUCGCUGUCGUCGUCGUCCUCCCUGCUGCCAGCGACGCCCUCCUGUCUCCUCUGCACCAGUCUACUCCUUCAUAUUAUUUACAAAAGAAAAUGGUUUGGGGUGAAGAGUUGAAGGCUUGAAGCCAAAUGUUCCUAAUCAAGAAGAUGACCCGCACAACUCCCAUGAAACAAGGCCAGCACUAUGUGCCAAGAUUGAAGAUCCCAAAUAUGUUUACUUUGGUCCAAUAUCGUAUAGCAGUGUAAUGCUUCAGGCACUUUUUAUCAUUCAUUUUUAUUAUUCAAAUUUCUAUAUGGUUGCCAUAGAUGCUACUAUUACAUGGAUUUAUUACUAUUUUUCAUGUGUUGUUGAAAAUAGAACUCACUCAUUUAUUUGUCUACGGAGGGAGUAGCAUACA
Triticum aestivum (bread wheat) is the source of this 2320-nucleotide long non-coding RNA. RefSeq lists it as uncharacterized. The record is from RefSeq and is a predicted model, not a curated record. The transcript is spliced from 3 exons. Lineage: Eukaryota; Viridiplantae; Streptophyta; Magnoliopsida; Poales; Poaceae.